Molecule: unclassified non-coding RNA, 765 nt
Filed under: Hevea brasiliensis (rubber tree)
Lineage: Eukaryota; Viridiplantae; Streptophyta; Magnoliopsida; Malpighiales; Euphorbiaceae
Source: RNAcentral
AGAUAAUCAGAUUCCAUAGGGCAAGGUUUAAUAAUUAGUAAUACAUUUAACAAGCAAGAUUAAUUACAAAGUGCACAUAAUAAAGAUACAACCACAGUAGGCAACAAAGGAUAAAGCUUACUCAGUUUACAUUUGCAGAAGACUCAUACAAUAAACUUGAUGGCAUUAACCCUGACAAAUUCUCAAACAUCUGAGGCAUAAAAAUAUCAUCAAAAGAUGACUCCAAUGGAGAAGCAUCUGGUGUUUUAGGCUGCUUACCAAUAAGAUCCACAGCGGGGACCUCUACUACAUGAUCAUCAACAAUUUUUGAUGCAUCAUGUUGGACCAUGUGAUUAUUGCCGCCCCUGUCCUUGUCCCCGCCGCCGCCGCCGACAUCAUUAUCACUAUCCAUAAACCUACUUGGGUCAGGCAAUUCAGCAUAUUGACCAGUGAGUUCUUGCACCAAAGCCCUGAAAUUACAGGCAGGGGUCUUGAACUUCAUAGGGUUAGAUAUGUAGACAACUUUCAUAGGCUUUUUGUUGUUGGUUUUGGACUUUUUGGUAGCUUUUCUUUCUUGAAGACUACUGCUAUUACGAUUAUUACUGCCCACUAGAUUAUCCAUAUGAGCAAGAGAUGGAUAAGCUUUCAAAGUUCACAGGGGCAACAACUAGCAUAAAAAAAUUUGAUUACAAUAGUUGUUCAGCUGAGGAGAGAGAAAGGGUUCUUUUGAGGCUGCAAAAGAAGGCUUCUGAGAAAGAAAAAGUUGAGCUUGACAGCAGAGAAAUA